Molecule: long non-coding RNA, 135 nt
Filed under: Capra hircus (goat)
Lineage: Eukaryota; Metazoa; Chordata; Mammalia; Artiodactyla; Bovidae
Description: lncRNA (ENSCHIG00000002576.1)
Source: RNAcentral
CUGGUCACUUGCUAACAGCUGUGUGCCUGUCAUGCUCCCGUUAUGAUUUUAUCAGGGGAAAGUUCAAAUGAGUCAAGACUAACAAAAGAUAGUACUACAUUGUUAUGGAAAUUGCUCUGGAUUGGGGCUAGAUAA